Molecule: ribosomal RNA, 253 nt
Filed under: uncultured bacterium
Lineage: Bacteria
Description: partial 16S ribosomal RNA
Rfam family: Bacterial small subunit ribosomal RNA
Source: RNAcentral
UACGGGGGGGGCAAGCGUUGAUCGGAAUUACUGGGCGUAAAGGGCUCGUAGGCGGCCAACUAAGUCGGACGUGAAAUCCCUCGGCUUAAGCGGGGAAUGGCGUCCGAUACUGGAUGGCUUGAGUCAGGGAGAGGGAUGCGGAAUUCCAGGUGUAGCGGUGAAAUGCGUAGAUAUCUGGAGGAACACCGGUGGCGAAGGAGGCAUCCUGGACCGGCACUGACGAUGAGGAGCGAAAGCCAGGGGAGCAAACGGG